UAGGGAAUCUUCCGCAAUGGGCGAAAGCCUGACGGAGCAACGCCGCGUGAGUGAUGACGGUCUUCGGAUCGUAAAACUCUGUUAUUAGGGAAGAACAAAUGUGUAAGUAACUAUGCACGUCUUGACGGUACCUAAUCAGAAAGCCACGGCUAACUACGUGCCAGCAUCCGCGGUAAUACGUAGGUGGCAAGCGUUAUCCGGAAUUAUUGGGCGUAAAGCGCGCGUAGGCGGUUUUUUAAGUCUGGUGUGAAAGCCCACGGCUCAACCGUGGAGGGUCAUUGGAAACUGGAAAACUUGAGUGCAGAAGAGGAAAGUGGAAUUCCAGGUGUAGCGGUGAAAUGCGCAGAGAUAUGGAGGAACACCAGUGGCGAAGGCGACUUUCUGGUCUGUAACUGACGCUGAUGUGCGAAAGCGUGGGGAUCAAACAGG
Molecule: ribosomal RNA, 429 nt
Filed under: Actinomycetes bacterium
Lineage: Bacteria; Bacillati; Actinomycetota; Actinomycetes
Description: Actinobacteria bacterium partial 16S ribosomal RNA
Rfam family: Bacterial small subunit ribosomal RNA
Source: RNAcentral